AGCGUACACGGUGGAUGCCCUGGCAGUCAGAGGCGAUGAAGGACGUGCUAAUCUGCGAUAAGCGUCGGUAAGGUGAUAUGAACCGUUAUAACCGGCGAUUUCCGAAUGGGGAAACCCAGUGUGUUUCGACACACUAUCAUUAACUGAAUCCAUAGGUUAAUGAGGCGAACCGGGGGAACUGAAACAUCUAAGUACCCCGAGGAAAAGAAAUCAACCGAGAUUCCCCCAGUAGCGGCGAGCGAACGGGGAGCAGCCCAGAGCCUGAAUCAGUGUGUGUGUUAGUGGAAGCGUCUGGAAAGGCGCGCGAUACAGGGUGACAGCCCCGUACACAAAAAUGCACAUGCUGUGAGCUCGAUGAGUAGGGCGGGACACGUGGUAUCCUGUCUGAAUAUGGGGGGACCAUCCUCCAAGGCUAAAUACUCCUGACUGACCGAUAGUGAACCAGUACCGUGAGGGAAAGGCGAAAAGAACCCCGGCGAGGGGAGUGAAAAAGAACCUGAAACCGUGUACGUACAAGCAGUGGGAGCACGCUUCGGCGUGUGACUGCGUACCUUUUGUAUAAUGGGUCAGCGACUUAUAUUCUGUAGCAAGGUUAACCGAAUAGGGGAGCCGAAGGGAAACCGAGUCUUAACUGGGCGUUAAGUUGCAGGGUAUAGACCCGAAACCCGGUGAUCUAGCCAUGGGCAGGUUGAAGGUUGGGUAACACUAACUGGAGGACCGAACCGACUAAUGUUGAAAAAUUAGCGGAUGACUUGUGGCUGGGGGUGAAAGGCCAAUCAAACCGGGAGAUAGCUGGUUCUCCCCGAAAGCUAUUUAGGUAGCGCCUCGUGAAUUCAUCUCCGGGGGUAGAGCACUGUUUCGGCAAGGGGGUCAUCCCGACUUACCAACCCGAUGCAAACUGCGAAUACCGGAGAAUGUUAUCACGGGAGACACACGGCGGGUGCUAACGUCCGUCGUGAAGAGGGAAACAACCCAGACCGCCAGCUAAGGUCCCAAAGUCAUGGUUAAGUGGGAAACGAUGUGGGAAGGCCCAGACAGCCAGGAUGUUGGCUUAGAAGCAGCCAUCAUUUAAAGAAAGCGUAAUAGCUCACUGGUCGAGUCGGCCUGCGCGGAAGAUGUAACGGGGCUAAACCAUGCACCGAAGCUGCGGCAGCGACGCUGAUGCGUUGUUGGGUAGGGGAGCGUUCUGUAAGCCUGCGAAGGUGUGCUGUGAGGCAUGCUGGAGGUAUCAGAAGUGCGAAUGCUGACAUAAGUAACGAUAAAGCGGGUGAAAAGCCCGCUCGCCGGAAGACCAAGGGUUCCUGUCCAACGUUAAUCGGGGCAGGGUGAGUCGACCCCUAAGGCGAGGCCGAAAGGCGUAGUCGAUGGGAAACAGGUUAAUAUUCCUGUACUUGGUGUUACUGCGAAGGGGGGACGGAGAAGGCUAUGUUGGCCGGGCGACGGUUGUCCCGGUUUAAGCGUGUAGGCUGGUUUUCCAGGCAAAUCCGGAAAAUCAAGGCUGAGGCGUGAUGACGAGGCACUACGGUGCUGAAGCAACAAAUGCCCUGCUUCCAGGAAAAGCCUCUAAGCAUCAGGUAACAUCAAAUCGUACCCCAAACCGACACAGGUGGUCAGGUAGAGAAUACCAAGGCGCUUGAGAGAACUCGGGUGAAGGAACUAGGCAAAAUGGUGCCGUAACUUCGGGAGAAGGCACGCUGAUAUGUAGGUGAGGUCCCUCGCGGAUGGAGCUGAAAUCAGUCGAAGAUACCAGCUGGCUGCAACUGUUUAUUAAAAACACAGCACUGUGCAAACACGAAAGUGGACGUAUACGGUGUGACGCCUGCCCGGUGCCGGAAGGUUAAUUGAUGGGGUUAGCGCAAGCGAAGCUCUUGAUCGAAGCCCCGGUAAACGGCGGCCGUAACUAUAACGGUCCUAAGGUAGCGAAAUUCCUUGUCGGGUAAGUUCCGACCUGCACGAAUGGCGUAAUGAUGGCCAGGCUGUCUCCACCCGAGACUCAGUGAAAUUGAACUCGCUGUGAAGAUGCAGUGUACCCGCGGCAAGACGGAAAGACCCCGUGAACCUUUACUAUAGCUUGACACUGAACAUUGAGCCUUGAUGUGUAGGAUAGGUGGGAGGCUUAGAAGUGUGGACGCCAGUCUGCAUGGAGCCGACCUUGAAAUACCACCCUUUAAUGUUUGAUGUUCUAACGUUGACCCGUAAUCCGGGUUGCGGACAGUGUCUGGUGGGUAGUUUGACUGGGGCGGUCUCCUCCUAAAGAGUAACGGAGGAGCACGAAGGUUGGCUAAUCCUGGUCGGACAUCAGGAGGUUAGUGCAAUGGCAUAAGCCAGCUUGACUGCGAGCGUGACGGCGCGAGCAGGUGCGAAAGCAGGUCAUAGUGAUCCGGUGGUUCUGAAUGGAAGGGCCAUCGCUCAACGGAUAAAAGGUACUCCGGGGAUAACAGGCUGAUACCGCCCAAGAGUUCAUAUCGACGGCGGUGUUUGGCACCUCGAUGUCGGCUCAUCACAUCCUGGGGCUGAAGUAGGUCCCAAGGGUAUGGCUGUUCGCCAUUUAAAGUGGUACGCGAGCUGGGUUUAGAACGUCGUGAGACAGUUCGGUCCCUAUCUGCCGUGGGCGCUGGAGAACUGAGGGGGGCUGCUCCUAGUACGAGAGGACCGGAGUGGACGCAUCACUGGUGUUCGGGUUGUCAUGCCAAUGGCACUGCCCGGUAGCUAAAUGCGGAAGAGAUAAGUGCUGAAAGCAUCUAAGCACGAAACUUGCCCCGAGAUGAGUUCUCCCUGACUCCUUGA
RNAcentral lists this ribosomal RNA (2787 nucleotides) under Escherichia coli. RNAcentral's name for it is "bacterial LSU rRNA". It matches the Rfam family "Bacterial large subunit ribosomal RNA". Lineage: Bacteria; Pseudomonadati; Pseudomonadota; Gammaproteobacteria; Enterobacterales; Enterobacteriaceae. The record is from RNAcentral.